This 440-nucleotide ribosomal RNA is filed under the name uncultured bacterium. RNAcentral describes it as "bacterial SSU rRNA". It matches the Rfam family "Bacterial small subunit ribosomal RNA", at positions 9 to 452 of the family's 1533-position model. The record is from RNAcentral.
GAGUUUGAUCCUGGCUCAGAUUGAACGCUGGCGGCAGGCCUAACACAUGCAAGUCGAGCGGUAGAGAGAAGCUUGCUUCUCUUGAGAGCGGCGGACGGGUGAGUAAUGCCUAGGAAUCUGCCUGGUAGUGGGGGAUAACGCUCGGAAACGGACGCUAAUACCGCAUACGUCCUACGGGAGAAAGCAGGGGACCUUCGGGCCUUGCGCUAUCAGAUGAGCCUAGGUCGGAUUAGCUAGUUGGUGAGGUAAUGGCUCACCAAGGCGACGAUCCGUAACUGGUCUGAGAGGAUGAUCAGUCACACUGGAACUGAGACACGGUCCAGACUCCUACGGAGGCAGCAGUGGGGAAUAUUGGACAAUGGGCGAAAGCCUGAUCCAGCCAUGCCGCGUGUGUGAAGAAGGUCUUCGGAUUGUAAAGCACUUUAAGUUGGGAGGAAGGG